CCGGGAACCGGGGCUAAUGCCGGGUAACCAUUCGGUUCUCCUGAACCGAAUGUAAAAGGAUGGCUUCUUGCUAUCGCUUACAGAUGGGCCCGCGGCGCAUUAGCUAGUUGGUAAGGUAACGGCUUACCAAGGCGACGAUGCGUAGCCGACCUGAGAGGGUGAUCGGCCACACUGGGACUGAGACACGGCCCAGACUCCUACGGGAGGCAGCAGUAGGGAAUCUUCCGCAAUGGACGAAAGUCUGACGGAGCAACGCCGCGUGAACGAUGAAGGCUUUCGGGUCGUAAAGUUCUGUUGUGAGGGAAGAACAAGGAUCGUGCGAACAGAGCGGUCCCUUGACGGUACCUCACGAGGAAGCCCCGGCUAACUACGUGCCAGCAGCCGCGGUAAUACGUAGGGGGCAAGCGUUGUCCGGAAUUAUUGGGCGUAAAGCGCACGCAGGCGGUUCCUUAAGUCUGAUGUGAAAGCCCGUGGCUCAACCACGGAGGGCCAUUGGAAACUGGGGAACUUGAGAACUGAAGAGGAGAGUGGAAUUCCACGUGUAGCGGUGAAAUGCGUAGAUAUGUGGAGGAACACCAGUGGCGAAGGCGACUCUCUGGUCGGUUUCUGACGCUGAGGUGCGAAAGCGUGGGUAGCAAACAG
This 642-nucleotide ribosomal RNA is filed under the name Bacillus sp. TA65. RNAcentral's name for it is "bacterial SSU rRNA". It matches the Rfam family "Bacterial small subunit ribosomal RNA", at positions 149 to 775 of the family's 1533-position model. The record is from RNAcentral. Lineage: Bacteria; Bacillati; Bacillota; Bacilli; Caryophanales; Bacillaceae.